This 252-nucleotide ribosomal RNA is filed under the name uncultured bacterium. RNAcentral describes it as "partial 16S ribosomal RNA". It matches the Rfam family "Bacterial small subunit ribosomal RNA", at positions 524 to 776 of the family's 1533-position model. The record is from RNAcentral.
UACAGAGGUCUCAAGCGUUGUUCGGAUUCAUUGGGCGUAAAGGGUGCGUAGGUGGCGCGGUAAGUCGGGUGUGAAAUCUCGGAGCUUAACUCCGAAAUUGCAUUCGAUACUGCCGUGCUUGAGGACUGGAGAGGAGACUGGAAUUCAUGGUGUAGCAGUGAAAUGCGUAGAGAUCAUGAGGAAGACCAGUGGCGAAGGCGGGUCUCUGGACAGUUCCUGACACUGAGCACGAAGGCCAGGGGAGCAAACGGG